UUUUUGCAACAGGCAGUAGUCAGAAAAAAAGGAAUUGAUCUUGGACUUGAAGAAACAGCCCCAGAGGUGAGAGAGAUAGUCGUUAACCUGCACAGCCUCUUUCCAGCCUCUUCACAGAUAACAAGAGCUUUCAGAACAAGAAACUUGUAUAUUCUGUGCAGCUCAAAUAAAAUUAAGAAGCUGAACAUCAGUUGACAAAGAGUAAAAACUAAUUGGGAGUUGACAGGAAAAUAAACUCUCAUUUAUGAAAAUGUAGCUUAUUCCACAACACCAGAUUUCAAAAGAUACAGAAUCCUGUUGCUCCACAAUUCAAUUUGUCCUACAAAAAGCAAAUAUAGUAAAUAGAAGUUACCAACACUGAAGAGAAGAUUAACAAAUCUGAGCAUCCCAAUGGAGCAGACAACAUGUUCAGACCAUCCAAAGAUCCAAAUGGCAGGUUUGACCACUCCAACUGACACCAGGUACAAGCCAGGUAAUGUAGUAAUCAUGGGAUCCCACUUUAAAAAGAAAGAAAAUGAAGUAAAAGCAAGAGGUAAUAUGAACAAGACAGACACAAAUAUGUCAAGCCCAAGUCUCAUCUCCAGCAACAAUCAGAAAUUUUGAGAAGUUAUUCUAUGACAAGGUUAAGUAAGUCCUUGGCAGAACAGGAUUAGUUUUUCUUAUUUUUUGCCCCCGGACCAGCUUAGUGAUGGUUCAGGUAGCAGCAACCAAUAAACAACAACAACUUAAAAAUUAUUUCUAUUUUCCAAGAAGUGUUCUUUAAAAGCCUUUAUUUUGAUAAAAAAAGAAAAAAAAAACUACAAAUGCUCCAGUUUUGAAAAGCGUGGAAACAUUGUUUGGGACUCUAAGUUUAGGAAAACAUGUGGACCACAGGCUCCAUGAUGACAGCUAACAUAAACUGAGACAGAAAUUGUGCCAAACCCUCUGUAUUGUAACGUUACAAUAUGCCCUAUAGUAAAGAUUAUUGUCAUUUUGCAGAUGAGUAACCUGGAUUUCUGAAACUCAGAACAUCUCCAAGAUCACAAAACUAGUAAAUCACAGCACCAAGAUUUAAGAUCAGAUCUUUCUCUAAAACAGACUUUAUAUUUAUAGCCAGUACCCUAUAUUGUGUCACCAGAAAAGAAGGGGAUGUUUAUUUUGAUAUUUAUAUGUACAUACUUGCACAGUCAAAUAUAUAUUCAAAAAUGAUGUGACUUGACUCGUUGCCAGUUUAUCCAGUUAACAGAUAGUUCACUAAAAAUACCCAGGGAAGGAAUUUGUGAUUAUAAAUUGUCACUUUUUGGUAGCUGAAGAUCCCUCCAGUCCACCCUAUCCCACCCCAUCCCACCCCUAAAAUGCACAGUGAAGUGCUUGACAGGUGAGCUAAAGGGAAGUUUUCUGGUAUUUCCAAGGAGCACCCGAAUGUCUUUAAUCCUGAGACAAGGAAAGACAAAGUGGGAUCGAUAUUGUCAGCUGCCAAGAGGAGCGCUCAGUUCCCCAUUAAGUAUUCUCCCAGAUCACUCCUUCCUGGGGGACAGAUCUGCUGUUUAUUCAUUCAUUUAAUAAAUAUUUCACAGAUCUCAGAGACAGGAACAAAAGACUAUACCCAGUUUCUUUCAUGUUCUGAGGCUGGGGUGGGGUGGAACGGGACGAGUAAAGUCUAAGGAUGGGAGAAGGAGCUGGGGACGCUGGGACCUUUCAGGCCUCUCCUGGGGUGGGGACAGGUUGGGCACCCCACCUGGGAAAGGGAGAAAUGGCCCUCACAGUAGCGCUGCGCCUGAGGCAGGUGGAAGAUCUCGUCCAUGUAGGGCUCUCGCAGCGCCCGGCUGAAGGCGGAGAAGAGGAGGCAGGACACUAAAAAGGUACAGCUCAAGGCGGCCGAGAAAUAGUAACCCUCUAGCUGCGCCAUUCCUGCUCCGACAGCCACUGCCCAAGAACCCACUCCUGGAAAAUUCUGAGCCCGGAAACCCGAGCUGGAAACUUGGGAUCGAAAUGGGCGCGCUACACGGGACUAGCCAGACUGGGCCACAUACCGGAAGGCAAAGGAUGCUGGGAGAGCGCGGAUCCGGAAAGAUCGGGUCGCUGUUUCCCGGAGUGAUGGGUUUAGAUAACGGACCGGAUGAUUACCUUUUCCAUCACAUUACCCGGGGCGCACAGUGUCAAAACUUCCGGAAAGGGCGGGUCUCGGAUUUCGCCAGCGCGGGAGGUGAGUGUCUUGCUGCUUUG
This 2205-nucleotide non-coding RNA is filed under the name Pongo abelii (Sumatran orangutan). Lineage: Eukaryota; Metazoa; Chordata; Mammalia; Primates; Hominidae. The record is from RNAcentral.